RNAcentral lists this ribosomal RNA (495 nucleotides) under uncultured bacterium. RNAcentral describes it as "partial 16S ribosomal RNA". It matches the Rfam family "Bacterial small subunit ribosomal RNA", at positions 28 to 507 of the family's 1533-position model. The record is from RNAcentral.
GACGAACGCUGGCGGCGCGCCUAAUACAUGCAAGUAGAACGCUGAAGGAGGAGCUUGCUCUUCUGGAUGAGUUGCGAACGGGUGAGUAACGCGUAGGUAACCUGCCUGGUAGCGGGGGAUAACUAUUGGAAACGAUAGCUAAUACCGCAUAAGAGUAGAUGUUGCAUGACAUUUACUUAAAAGGUGCAAUUGCAUCACUACCAGAUGGACCUGCGUUGUAUUAGCGAGUUGGUGGGGUAACGGCUUACCAAGGCGACGAUACAUAGCCGACCUGAGAGGGUGAUCGGCCACACUGGGAGUGAGACACGGCCCAGACUCCUACGGGAGGCAGCAGUAGGGAAUCUUCGGCAAUGGACGGAAGUCUGACCGAGCAACGCCGCGUGAGUGAACAAGGUUUUCGGAUCGUAAAGCUCUGUUGUAAGAGAAGAACGAGUGUGAGAGUGGAAAGUUCACACUGUGACGGUAUCUUACCAGAAAGGGACGGCUAACUACGUG